RNAcentral lists this long non-coding RNA (995 nucleotides) under Monodelphis domestica (gray short-tailed opossum). RNAcentral describes it as "lncRNA (ENSMODG00000033192.2)". The record is from RNAcentral. Lineage: Eukaryota; Metazoa; Chordata; Mammalia; Didelphimorphia; Didelphidae.
CACUCAUUAGGGGGUUGGAUUUUUGUUUGAAAAAAUCUUAACUAAAAAAAAUUGAGGGAUGACAUGAUUGCUUCCUAGAAGCGUUUGAAGGAUUAGAAAUUGUUUGAAGAGAGCAAGCAACACCUGUUGGAGAGUAAUGCCCAUCAAUGAGAUCAUGGAUUUAUUGAAAGAUGCAUGAAGUCAUUCCAAGAGGAAAUGUGAGCUGGUAUACCUGUAGCCUCCCUCCUCUGCUCCCUGAGAUGCCUUUGCACUGAAGUAAAAUUGUCAUCUACAUUAAUCAACUAGCAGUCUGCUGUGCUGGAGAGGAUGGAGUGGGACAUGUACUGCUGAAGUACAGGGAAAGAUAGUCAUCCCAGAAACCUGGCGCUGUCUUCCUCAGAGGUGCUGACAGAAAAAUGCCCAAAUGAUGAUGAAAAUGGGGAUGGGGAAGCUUUCUUUUGGGGACCAGCUUCAGGGUCUAAUGGAACAAGAAGAGAUCAAAGACUGCCAUUGGUUGAUAACCUCAAUGGGCUCCAAUGCUAUUUCUAGCCAACCAAUUUACCAAGGAACAUCACAAGAACACCAGCUUUCCACAGAGAGAGUUUGAAAAGUCAUUAAUGAAGCAAAUCGAAAGAACUGGAGCAAUUCAAGCCAAAUGGAAAUUCAUCCGAAGUCCUGGCCAAAAUAGUCAAAUACAUGUUCUUCCUCUGGAUGUGGAUAGUGUUCUUGCUCAUAAGUCCCUCAAGAUUGUCCUGGAUCAUUGCAUUGCUGAUAGCAGAGAAGCCCAUUACAUUCGAUUGUGCCACAGUGUAUCUGUGUCUGUGUACAAUGUUCUCCUGGUUCUGCUCCUUUCAUUCUGCAUCAGUUCCUGGAGGUCAUUCCAGUUCACAUGGAAUCCCUCCAGUUCAUUAUUAAAGGAACUUAAUGCUGCUCCUGUCAGUCAUUUACCUUUUAGGGGAAAUGAUUUUGUGGGUUGCUUUCCCCAAACUUAACAAUAAAGGAAUUCAGCAUGUACA